RNAcentral lists this long non-coding RNA (876 nucleotides) under Homo sapiens (human). RNAcentral describes it as "HSALNT0324390". Lineage: Eukaryota; Metazoa; Chordata; Mammalia; Primates; Hominidae. The record is from RNAcentral.
GGGUGUUCCUGAUCUUUGAGCCAUGAUAAUGUUACUGGUUGGAUGUCAGGAGCAGGCCAUGUGGAUGAUUAAAAGAUGAAUAUCAUAUACAGCAUGGAUAUGUUGGACAAAAAGAUGAUUCACAUCCCAGACAGAAUGGAGCAGGAUGGGGAGUGUCGGAUGGGAAACAGCAAAGGGAGAGCCCUAGAAAUCUGGUUUGAGCAGCUGGGAAAGCAGAUGCACUCACCAAGAAAAACGUUUGCAGAGAAGCCAGUAGAGAGGGGAGGUCCAGAGACACUCAAGUUGAACAAGUUACCUUGAGAUUCCUGUGAGCACAUUUAUUAAAAGCCAGAAGCUAGAAGACGAGGAAAGAAGAGAUGCAGCUGGAGAGCCUGGGGUGAGAACAUGAGCAGUCUAUAAUCAGAAAAUCCCUUUGGGAUAAAUUGACAAAAAUAUAAACCACUCCACAAAGGAGAAAUUGUAAAUGAGUUGUUAUGUAAAACCUCCCAGCGAAAGAAAUAGUCCAGAAAGCUUGAAGAGAAACUGAAAUUUGAAAAAUCUACCUAAAAAGGUGAUAAAGGAUUUUCAGUUUUGCAAAAAACGCAAUACAGAGUGUCUUUGGAAAGAAAGUUCUCAUAUGGAUUUAAAAUAUGAUUCAAUUUACAGAAGUCAGAGUUGUUCUUCCAGAUGGCAUGAAUCCAACAGUGAAGAAAUCAGAAUACGUUGCUUUUGUGAGGGGCAGCUGCUGAUUUUCUCUGAGCUCCGUUUCCAGCCUUCACAUGCUCUGCUAUUCAUCACAGGGUAAAUUCUGACUAUAGGAGGUACUGACAGAAGAUUAGGGAAGAACAGAGGGCUAAAUGUUUAUUGACUUCUUGAAAAAUGCUAUGUGUCUUGCCA